CCAUCGCCCCUGCGCACCGUCCUCCCCCACCUCCCGAUCAAGCCAUCCAGCCGCCUCUCCUCGCCCUCCUGCCUGCGCGCAUCUCUCUAGAGCUUAAACUCUCCUAGAGAGAUCUCAGGCAGCCCCAAUAACCAACCGCUCGACCCAACUCGUCGUCGUCGUCGUCGCAGAUGGCCGGCCUCAGGAUGAAGCUCGUCGCCGCCGCCGCCGUGGCCGCCGCGCUCGUGGCGUCCGCCGCCGCCCAGGCCCCCGCGCCAGCGCCCACCUCCGACGCCUCGGCCGCGGUGCCCCUCGCGGCGGCGUCCUUCGCCGCCGCCGCCUUCGGCUACCUCUUCUGCUAGAUCCGUCGUCCGGGGAUGCCGUCGUGCUCCCUGGCCGGUCGGGCCUGCUGAUGAUGAUAUGAUUCGUUUUGGCGUGAGUCGAGUCCCCUGUUCGUGGCGCGUGUUGAGGGAUGUCGGUGGGCGUGUGUAUGUACGAGUCGGCGGCGGGUGGAGGUGUGCGCGCGUGGUUGGAUACGUGCGUCGACGCACCACUCUUUGUGGUGGAGAUCAUGUACCCGCUGCGCUUCUGUUUAUCAAUGAGAUGAUUUAUUUGAUUCUUUUCAUCUUAUAUACAAUAUACAUGAGAAUUGCGUAUUCAGUUUGUUGUGUUUUGCUCUGCAAACUUGCGAUGUGCAGAUUGUUGUAAAACACUGUCGAACGAUUCUCCCUCAAUCGAGUUCUUCCGUUACAAAGAAAAAGAAAACGGUGCAUCUCUCUUAAAAAAACGAUUACUAUUCUUACGACCUGAAAAUUAAGGGGUGCAGGCUACAGUUCAAAGAUGUAAUUGGAAUCUGAAAUCGAUUUGACCGACUAAGGAACCCACCAUCUGAAUUCUAAGCAAAACGACCGGCAUAACGACUUUCAUUUAUGACCAACCAAUUCAGAAUUGACAAGCUUUAUUUUUCCUCCCUCCCUCGAAAAGAAUGCUGUGGCACGGAGUCCUCGUGAAGUUCGUUAGGAGAUGCCGGGCCGGGGUUGCUUAAUUAGUUUGGUGAGGGAUCCGAACGUUGAAAUGAUUGAAGCAUGUUGGCGUCGCCACUUGCCAGCCAAGAAGCCAUGUGCUGCUCGUUAAGCACUGGUCCACAGAUGAGUUGUCUUGGUAGGGGCAGCCGUACCCGCUGUAUCAGCGCUGGCAUGCUCCAAGCUGGAAAUGGUGAGCCGUCGCAAUCGCUGCAGUAUUACCCGACUAAUAUGUGCUUUAUGGAAUUGCAGGACUGCUUAAUUUUGACCGUGCUCGUGGAUUUAGAUGCUGGUCGAUGGCUCCAGCUCGAUGCCUUUUCCUACUGUACUGGCUACUGCCGACCGAGAGUCUCAGAGCGUGCAGAAUGCAGGUCGAGUUCCGCAAAGUUGUUGGCGUACACAGCUGGGGAUUGGGCCAGUGCCAGCUCUACACACCACUGGGCCACCUUUGUGUUUUCUCCGGCCUGCUUGAAAAUGUAUUGGGCCAGUUUGUUGGGCCGCUUACUUACAUCUGUGCUCAGCUAAAUCCAGCGAGAACAAUGGAAGAGUUUUUGGCUCUAUACAACAAAUCUUUUGGUUUUUUCCCCCCCUUUCUUUUUCAUCCACAUAAGACACCCACGAUGGCGUUUAUAUUUGUAAGAUAACUGAGUUGCAUUUUUAAGUGCCUCAUUUCUGGAUUAUCGGGCAGCUUCUGAAAGGAAGCUCCAAUUAUAGUAGACGAAGUAGAAGGUUUUUUUUUCGAUUCAAGACCUGGAACGUAGGUAGCUAGAGUCUACGCACUGCAGUUACAUACUGACAAAUUGCAAUGGCGAGUCGGCGACCGACAAGCAGAGGCCAGGCACAGCUGCGUCACAUGAACUCGCUCAUCAUGGCGAGCACCUGCGCCAUCGUGGGCCUCUCCUCCGGCGCCUCGGCGGUGCACAGCACGCCGAUCUUCACCAUCCCCAUCGUCUCCUCCCCUUCGCCGCCUUCCUCGCCGUCGGCGGCCUUGUGGUCCGUCACCACCUCCAGGAGCACCAUCCCGAAGCUGUACACGUCGGACUCCUGCGUCGCCCUCGCGCCCGCGCCCGACGCCAGCUCCGGCGCCGCGUACCCGUGCCACCCGACGCUCGCCGCUGGCGGGGCCGCCGACGACGUCGCGGUCGCCGCCCGGCCCAGGAACAGGUCCGGCGGGCACCGAGCGGCCUGCGGGACGACGGACUGCUGGAUGUUUGUGGCGUAGCGCAUGAGCCCGCACUCGGACACGCACGCGCCGCCGCGCUCGUCCAGGAGGAUGUUGGACGGCUUCACGUUCGCGUGCACAAGCGCCGGCCGCGCCGGGAACGUGUGGAUGUAGUUCAGGCCCUGCGCCGCGCCGAACAGUAUGCUCUUCCUCCCCGCCCAGUCCAGGCUCCUCGCGCCACCACCUGCAGCAACAACAACGGCCCGUCAGGAACACUCGCUUUCUUGCACCGACUGCAAAUUGGCAAUGCAUUUGGGAUUUCAUUAUCUCAUUUCAGCGCGACGACGCACCACUGGCUUGCAGAAGGGACUGGAGGCUCCCGUUGGGGAGGAAGUCGUAGACGAGGAGGCGCUCGCCGUUGGAGUUGCAGUACCCCCUGAGGCUGACGACGUGCCGGUGGCGGAGCCGGCCGACGAGCCGCAUGUGGCGGUCGAACGCCUUGCUCCGGCUGGCGGGGAACUGCAGCGCGCUCAGGCGCUUGACGGCCACCACGAUGCCGUCGUCGAGCACCGCCUUGUAGGUGCUCCCGGACACGCCCUUGCCGAGCACCUCGGCGGACGCCUUGAGGAGGCUCUCCAGCCGCAGCUCCUCGCCGCCCUCGAAGCAGACCAACCCGCCGCUCUUCUGGCACUUGUCGUCCCCGUUCGCCCUCUUCUCUUGCUCCUCGAAGCAGAGUGCCGCGUCGGAGGCGUCCUUCGCCGACCGGAGCUUCCUCCUCAUGUAGACGAACAUGGCCACGGAGAUGGCUAGCGAGACCGUGAUGAGCACUGCGUUGCCAAUGCCGGUGGCCAUGAGUGCAGUCAAGCUAAGCUUACUGAAACCUCCAUUGCUGGAACUGGAAGGCACACUACCACUAACGUUCACUGCAGCACCAGGAGAUUGAGCAGCGAUACUGGUGGUAGCAUUGGAAGAACUAUCCGAUCCUAACGCAUUAUAAGCACGAACACAUCUUGGCAGAGGCGUGCCACAGAGAGCGAGAUUGCCGCCGAAAGCCGACCUCGGGAACCUGGACAGAUCGCCGGAGAUCUCCCCAGCGAGCUUGUUCCCGGACACGUUCAAGCUCCUGAGCGACGGGGCGCGCAGCGCCUCCAGGCCUCCACGGAAGCCAUUGUGCUCCGCUCUAAGCGUGAGCAGAGCACCCAGCGAGAUGUUCAGGCUCCCGGUGAGCCGGUUGCGGGCGACGAGCAGGUGCCGCAGCCACGGGCUCGCCGUGGCGUCGUCCAGCGGGGGGAGGGCGCCGGACAGGGAGUUGUUCCUGACGGCGAGCGCCCUGAUAUGGCUGAGCCGCAGGAGCGGCGCCACCUCGCCGGCCAGCGAGGCGCCGUCGAGGAAGACCCCCACCACCCUGCCCCUGGAGCACCUGAUCCCGAACCACGUGCUGGAGCACGGGUUGGGGCCGUGCCAGGUCGCCAGGGCCGUGGCGUUCGGGUUGUAGGACUUGAAGGAGAGCAGCGCGGGCAGGUCCUGGUGGCCGCCAUUGCCGACCUCUCCGUGCACAGAAGGUACCGAUAGGUGGUAGACGAGGACGGCGAGGAGCAGGAAGGUGGAAUGGUGGAAACGAGGCAUUUUGGUAGCUGUAAGAAUUUUCUUCUGUGUUUGACCGAGAAAUCUAUCCACUCGUUUUAUAGCACGGGCCGGUAACAAUUCAGCGCGGGGAAGUAGAAAAUUUUGAAUGGCGCACGAGCACAAAGGCGUGGAACGACGACGAGCAGAGGGGUCCAAAGAGGAAAGCUGGGUACCUGCGCCGACGUCGUGGGUGGGUGUCGAUGCUGAGGUCGUGGGGAGGAGGGUGGAGGUGAAAAGCGGCGCCAUGGAGGACAGGAGGAGAGGUCCAAGGGGAUGGGGAGCUGACGAGGUGCCCUUUUUCCUCCCUUGGGCAGAAGGAACUUGGACGUAUCUGGUGGGCUGCACGUAGCCGUGAUGGUCGUCGCGCCGGGGAGAUGCUGGUGCUCGCUUCGCUUUACGGAAGCGGCCGAAAGGAAGCAAGAGGGCUCGGGGUUCCACGGCGCGUGGUGGAGUAUCGGGUUCACGAGACGAGACGGGAGUAGCGAGUGGGGACGUUGGCGUCAGGUGGCGCCACGCACCGGUAGGGGAGCAGACAGGAAUGGAUUCCAGCUUCACGUUGCACUAGUCCCCCAGAGUCACAGUGAACCCGGAACACUGAACUGGGUUCAGGUGUCGGGGCAUCUAUUGUUGGGUCCGUUCGUGCUGUGGGCCGAGCCAGGUCUUGCCACCCGAUCCAGCCCAGUAACCGGAGUAGCCAAGAUUUUGUUGGGGCGUCGGGUUCAAACUUCAAAUUGGCAGGUGGAGACGCUUCCAAACGGGUUCAUAGUGAGUCAUUGCUACUGGUACUACGGAGGACUAGGAAGGUUAAUUAUCAUUAUGAACAGUGUUAGUUAGCACCGUCGUCUGAAUGAAAGGUCAUGACAUGCUCGUGAAACCUCGAUUCUAAUGUAUGCGCGCAGUUUUUGGUAUAUCAACUCAGAACUCGACUGGUGGUGUGGUGAGCACAAAAAUGCAUCUUGUUUUUUUUUUCCCACUAAGGGCUACGUCCAAAUUUCAUUACUGUUUAGGCAAUGAAAUUACAGAGUAUGAGAGUUGUCGACACCAUGGUCACACCAGAGAUUACAAAAGCAUCUCCAGGAGGACAGGUGCAGACGGCCUUUCCACCUGGGAGGAAUAAAGCGAGCCUACUUAUUACAUGACACAGAACUAACAGCAUGCUAAACAUCUCACAGCCAACCAAACUAGGAACAUUUCUCAACCAGCCUCCAAAGUUGCUUUGAGCAUCACACUGUAUCCAGACUUCCUGGCUUGAUUUGGGACAGCACUUCUUCUCUUUUUUACUGCAGCAGUACCAUCCCUGUGUCGUCGGUUGUUGCUUCACGGGGGUGAAAGUGCAACGCCGUCGCCUUCAUUGCAUCAGCGCCAGCCUCCAGGAUCGUCCUCCCCUCCGGCUUAUGAAGACCUGCUCAAUAUGAAAUGAAAACAGAUGCUGAACAUAUAAUCUCUGAAGGAGAUUUGACCUAUUUUUUAUCAAAGCAAGCAGCAUUUCUAGCUUUCCAGAGUGCCCAGCAGACCGCUGACAGCCCCACCACAUGGAUGUUUUUGUUUUGUGACAUAUACUAUCUAGUCCAUUCCCAAAAUUGGGCAAAGGUAGUUGGUCUACAUGGAGCACCAAUUACCAUGGCAAUAAGGCUCCAUACAUACCUAGCCAAGGCAUAUCCAAAGAAAAGGUGUUUCGAUGUUUUCUUCCAUAUGACAGAAACAACAGCUUUUGUCCCCCUGCCAGUUGCGUUUUAUAAGGUUGUCUUUAGUCAGAAUAGCAUCUUUUUGGAUUAACCACAUAAAGAUUUUUAUCUUCAAAGGGAUUUUGGCUUUCCAAAUAUUGUCAUGAGGACUGGGUAUAGACUACCGCCUCAUCAUCGACACAUCGAACAACGAUGGCAAGGAUGCCAAGUACGAGGCGGUGGUUCAUGAGAAAAACUGGGGAGACCAAAUCACUCUCUUGUCCUUUAAGCGAGCAGACUCUCAGCAACAAUUGGCAUGAGCAUGUUAAUCACUCUCUUGUCCUUUAAGGAUGCCAAUGAUUUGUAGUAGGGUUGCCACCUUGAUUAAUGCUUAUCACUACUUGCUCUACAACUAUUGCAUUUUGUGUUUACUCCAUUUAGCGUCCUUUCGUUACGCCUUGCUUAAUGCUUAUCACUACUUGCUCUACAACUGCUGCAUUUUGUGUUUACUCCAUUUAGCGUCCUUUUGUUAAUCGUUGAAAUGGCGUGGUAGCUGCUGCGUAAUGCGUAUCAUGUAAUUUGGCAUCUCCAAUAUAAAUGGGAUUUUCAGCCUAAAUAAAAUGUGAUUGGGAAAUUUGGCUUCCCACUUUUGUACAUGAUGCAAACGGUCAUAUACAUGCACACACAAUUACAAAUACACGCACGCUAGUUCGAUCUUCAAGUUUAAUAUAGUUUCAGCUGUUCAAACAUUGGAUUGAACAUGACCGAUCCAUUUGAAAGUAGAUUGCUUUCAAACACAAAACGUGGAUUGCGUUAAAUAUUUUUAUUAGACAUAUUAGGAAUGUAAAAGUCAAAUUUAUAAUAAUUUAACCAAACAUUAGUCAAAUUCUAUAAAUCCUCAGUAUAAAAGUUAUAUGGAUGAAUUCAAAUAUGAAAUAUCUUACUUCUAUACAUCUAAUAGUAUAUUGUAAUAGAAACUAUAUCAGUCAAUAUAUAUCUAUAAAUAUUUUCAAAUCAUCAUGUGCCUACUAAAAACAAACAAAGUUAAUGUUAUGGUUGUGAUUUUAUUGCUACAAAUAUUACUAGUAUUAUAAGAGCAUCUGCAGCAGUCUCCCAAUAAAUAUUUCCCAAUAACUAGUUAAUAGGGAUAUUCCAAUAUCACUUUCAUCGUUAUUGGGAGAGUUGCUUUUGCAGUCUCCCAAUAAUUUCAUCCCAAUCCAACUACCGUAUUGAGAGAGUUACAACUCCUUUAUUUAGGGAGAGUUGGGAUGAAUUAUUGGGUUGUCCCAAUAAUUAUUGGGAAAAGGGAAAGUUAAAGGAAGACUGUUGGAACACUAUUUUCUUAUCAACUCUCUCAAUAUGAUAGUUGGAUUGAGGAAAGGGAGAUUGCUAAAGAUGCUCUAAUAAGCUAUGUAUUCAAAACAAAGUGGUCAUGCGGGUAUUAGAGUUGUGAUCCGAAAUAACGGCAGGAAAAUUCUGUUAUCUGCAUGGCGAGUCAUUUUUUAUGCAGUGAGCGUACAGGAAGUGGAGGCAUUGGCAUGCAAAGAAGGGUGGCCCUUGAAGGGAGCCCGCGAUCUUAGAGUUAGACUGCAGUGCGGUCAUUCACUAAAUCAAGGAAGCGAGUAAGAUGAUACUAGCUAGCAUAAUUUUUCACGGUCUAGAAGGCUAAGCGCCUAGCGGAAAGUCUCCCAUGUCUCGUUUUGAGUCAUGUAAAGAGAUAGCAGAACGUAGUCGCACAUGAGCUUGCGAAGCAAAUCGCAAUGUAGUGUGGUGUGAUCAUCCCCCACUUAUAUGAGCAUUUGAUUGCUCAUGCCUGUAAUUUUUUUUUUGAGCAAUCAAUAAAGCGCUCUCUCUUUUUUUAAAAAAAAUUUGCAAAGAAAGAGACUACGAAUCAAAGUUGGAGAAUGUGACGAGUCAAAGCAUAUUGUGAAAUGGAGGCAGCAAAAUCCUAACGCUUCCUGUCGCAUCGACGUUCGAGCUCUGUGUACUUAAUUGAUUGCCACGUAGAAGCCGAAGAGUGCAGCGUCGAUUCAACUGGCGCGCGUCUAGACCCUAUAAAAGGACGGGGUUUCCAAGGCAGCACUGCACCGAUGCUUGCUCUGCACCAGCAAAGGCAGUCAAACUAACAGUACGCCGGGCACCGGAAGAUCGAUCGACCAGGCAUGUCGCCGCCGCCGGAGCAGGACAGGAGGCUUGGCGUCGUCAAGCCGGAGCCCGAACCCAUGAUCAAGCUCAAGGUGCUGGACAACGAGGGUCGCAGGGUCUUCCACACCAUGAGGAUGUCCGACAAGCUCCAGGCGGUCAUGGAUGCGUACUACGCGAAGGCGCCCGACGUGACCUACGGCUCCGGGACCUUCAUGUUCGAUGGAUCCAUCCGGCUGCGGGGCAGCGAGACGCCGGCGGAGCACGGUCUGCAAGAUGACGACGUGAUCGACUCCUACGAGGACCUGGUGGGCGGCGGACGGGACGACGCCUGAUGCACCGGACCGGCGGCUGAUCGAUCGAUGGCCGCGCGAGUACGUCGUAGCAGUCGUUUAAUGGAUGUCGUUAUAUUAUCAUUCGCCAGUCAUCACUAGUCUCCAAUUAUUACAAAGACGUAUCAUCUACUAGGAUUCAUCUUUCUACUAUACAUGCAAGGUGGAUCCAAUAUGUUCUCUUGAAACUUUGUUAUUGAUGUAUCUUCACAGUUUACCUGCUGAAUUCAACUGUCAAAACUUUUCUAAGGCCCUGUUUGGAUCAUUGGAAUUGAAUUCCAUCCUAAUAGUCAUAAUUUAGACACAAAUUAAUUAAGCUAAUAUAAUUGUAUGUGGAAUAUAGUUGUAUAUUAUAGUUGGUGAUAUAGGAGAGAUACUUGUAUGCUGCACUUCUACUAUAGAGAAGCGAGUCUAAGAGCGUGCUAUAAGAAUUGAAUUCCAUUCUAAUAACCAUAAUCUAUAGAAUCAAUUUCCAUCUCCCACCCCAUGAAUUUAAGAUAGGCUUAUAUCUAAACUUUGGAAAGUUGUGGAAUGCCACAUUCCAACAUAAAUUAGCCUACUCCAUUAAAUAGAUUCCAAUUCCUUGGACCCAAACGAGGCCUAAGCGAAAUGCAAGCGUUCGUGGUAUAGCACUUGGAUCAUCCACGGCCCGAUGAUCGAUUGCCCAGGCGGCUGAGAUCUCUUUAGUCGUCUAGAGCUCACGGGGGAAUUCCGAAGAUGCGUUCGGGGCAUUCGAUAGCUUAUCCGCGUCCUGGUACGUCAUGAUUCAUGAACAGUUUGAUCUGGUAAAUUAUGAUUUCAUUGAAGACAUUGCCGUUCCAUUUUCUAUUGAUGAAUUUUUUUAUUAAUCUUCUCGUAAAAAGUUUUUGACGAGGCACUUUAUGCGAUCCAUUGCUUACGAUAUACAUCAAGUUCAACAAAGUGGUUUGGCCUUUUUUUUAGAUAUGCAAAAUAUAAAUCUAUUGAUGCAACUUUGAGACAUGAAAACAUAUAAUUUGACUACUCUUGGAGUAAAACCUACAAAUUAAAGUAUUGACUAUUUGAUACAACCUACGUAAAGAAACAGAGUAAGCAAUGCACGUCAAGCAGACAAAUGAUACGAUCAAGUUCAACAAAUUAAAGUGGUUAGUGGUGAGAAGCAGAUUUUGGUAGGCAUAUACUUCCGUCUCAUCAUCGAUGCGUCGAACAACAAUGGCACGGAUGGCAAGUAUGAGGCGGUGGUGCACGAGAUGGAUUGGGGAGAAAAACUCUCCCUUGAGUCCUUUUAAGUCGGCUAAUUGAUCUACAGUUAGAAUGACCGUCUUAAUGCAAUUAUCCUAAAUAAUGAUGUCAAGGUGUAUUUUCAUGCCUUUGGAUUUUUUUAUGGUUAUAUACAAUUGUCUCAGGAAGCUUGUGCCUCAAGCAUGUCUCUCUCCUAGGAGUAGAUCACUGCCUCACUGGAGACCACAAGAUCAUAGAGCUUCCGACUAAAGUGAGCAGUUUCUUCGAGCUUCUGAGUUCACCAGAAAGAGCGAGGUUGCUACUAAAGGGAGCAGUUUGUUCGAGCUUCUGACUAAAUCGAUCCAAAAUUAUGUCAAACAAUUUCCACUAAAUUACAAGAUAACUAUAUAUUGCAGGAGCUGAUGUGAUAUGAAUCCACUAAAUCACUUCCAAGUUGUAUUUGAACAAACUGUCCAUCGGUUUCCAUCCAUUUCGCCGGAAUACAAGCUCUUAUUAGUAAGGGCUGCAUGCAAGGACUGUCUUAAUUUUUUGCUGUAAGGUAAAACUAGUUGUCAAUUAAUUUCAGGCCAAUCAUUUUCUACUAAAAAUUGCAAGAUACUACUUAAUUUGACACAUCCAAUUAAUAUUUUCCAAAUUGUAUCGAACACCCUGUCCAUCAGCCAUUUGUUGGCAACGUCACGAGGCUAAGUGCUAUUAAAUGCCUCAGUCGUGUCUCCAAUCUUCAGCAAAAACUAUGAACCUGCCAAUCUUGUUAGUACUUCAAUAGACUUCCUCGAUUCUAAAUUAUAGUUCACUUUAGCGUUGUUCUAAACCAAACUAUUCUCUCUGACUAAAUGUAUAGAAAAAUAGAACAAUAUCUACUAUCAGCAUAUUUCUUAGCAGAUUCAAUGAAACUAUAAUUUGACGUUAUAGAUCUUAAUGCCUUUUUUAUGAACUUGAUCAAAGUUAAAGAGAUUUGACUCAGAACAAUACUCGUAUAUACUACUUACAUUUUAAAAGAAGUAUAAAAUAAAGUAGUUAUUGUAAUGAAUGUAAAAUAAGCUUAGAAGAAACCUCAAUGACCAAAUUGGGACUGCAGAAAGUACUUUCUCCACCCUAUUACUGGCUCCGCACGCACAAGAGAAACAAAAGCACGAGCUUGUGGCCAUUAUUCAAACAAUAAAAUUAGCACUAGUCACUUGGAGAGAAACCGGCAAAACAUCCAGAAAUAUACCACACAUAGGGGUGGUAAUGGAUCAUGCCUCCUUCACAAUCCAACUCAACCCUAUUUAUUUUUAGUUCAAAAUCAUAUAUUAUUAUAGCCCGAUACAUAUUGAGCCUGAUCCUUAAAUUUGCUAAGUUAAAUUAGAGGGCCCUUUACCACACCUAACCACGCCACAAGAACAAAAUUCAACAAGCUGUUGGUAACUCGGUACUCUACCGGUUGGAUACAAAACAAUAUUAAAAACUGCUGCUACUAAUAUUCUCUUAAUGAAAUACAUGCACGUUUAUAAAAAAAAUGACUCACAUGACCCUCCUAAACCUAGAGAACAGACUCGAUUGAAACUAAUCGGAACGUAAUAAUAGUGAGCAAAGUCACUGGCAUGUAAAUAAACUAAGUCUAAGUAAGAGCUGUAUAUCUAGAAUAUGAGGUCUUGAUGGACUCCUCGAACUCGUUGACGACGGCCUUCCAUCCGGCAUGGGUCGGGUUGAUGUCGUCCCAGUAGAAGAACUUGUCCGGCUUGGACCCCAGGCUGUACUGCGGCUCACCGUCCUGCACCUGCCCGCAGAACCCGCUCUGGUCGAAGCUCUCGCAGCACGACUCCAGCCUGUACUUGAACUGCUUCGAUCGCGGCGACGGGCCCGCGUAGUGGCUGAAUGCGGCUUUCAGGUCGAGGUUGAAGACGGCCUCGUCCUGGAACACCUUCUCCUCGAGGUACGAGUUGUGGAUGCUCGCCACCUUCUGGCUGUCGCACUUGGCAUCGUAGACGCCGUCCUCGGACCUCGACAGCCACGGCGUGCACCCGAGCGGGGGCAGCGAGGUCACCACCACC
RNAcentral lists this long non-coding RNA (11181 nucleotides) under Setaria italica (foxtail millet). Its description in RNAcentral is "long non-coding RNA (SITA_LNC001612)". Lineage: Eukaryota; Viridiplantae; Streptophyta; Magnoliopsida; Poales; Poaceae. The record is from RNAcentral.